Long non-coding RNA from Salarias fasciatus (jewelled blenny), 1815 nucleotides. Lineage: Eukaryota; Metazoa; Chordata; Actinopteri; Blenniiformes; Blenniidae. The record is from Ensembl.
CCAAUGGGACACAAACGUACAACACCACAGAAGAAGAAGGGACCGGAAGUGGCACUGUUUGAGCGGAAGUGCUCGCAGAGCGGGGUCGGGUCUGCAGUGAAAAUUCUCCAGGUACAAAUUCAGAUUAAUUCUCCACUUGUGGAAAGAAACGAUGCUGCCCUCCAAGGAAGCACUCAGACAGUCCAUCAUCCGGAGCCUGACCGCUGUUUCUGAUGAUAUCUGCUCCGCGUUUGAGCGAACCGUGGACGGCUACAAGACGGAGCUGGACCGCCAGCGCAGGCUGAUCGACGUGGUGUGGAACCCCAACAUCCGGCUGCACGUUAGCGACCUUCAGCUUCUCUGUGAUGACCUGCUGGUCCCGGCGCAGAGGAGGCCGCCGGGUCCCGGUCCGGGUCCGAGCCGGGAGAGGGAGCCAGGUCCCGGUCCAAGCCAGGUCAGGGAGCCGGGUCCCGGUCCGAGCCGGGAGAGGGAGCCGGGUCCCGGUCCGAGCCAGGAGAGGGAGCCGGGUCCCGGUCCGGGUCCGAGCCGGGUCAGGGAGCCGGGUCCCGGUCCGAGCCGGGAGAGGGAGCCGGGUCCCGGUCCGGGUCUGAGCCGGGAGAGGGAGCCGGGUCCCGGUCCGAGCCGGGAGAGGGAGCCGGGUUCUCCACAGAACCAUGGCUGCGUGGAGGAUCCUGCAGAGCCGGAGCGCCACACUGACCCCGGCACGGGGAAGUCCUGUGUUGAAUGUCACGUUUGUGGGAAAUCCUUCAAGCUGACCUUCCAGCUGAAGCGGCACUUGAGAUUUCACGCCGACAAGCCGUAUGGCUGCCACACCUAAAGGAAGCGUGGCUUUUUCAGUGUAGGAACUCAGACAGGGGAGGUUCUGACUCCUGCUGAGGCCUCGGAUGACAGGAUGAGGAAAGCAGCUUCAUUGUUACAGUCAAACCUUAUUUAGCUCUGAAUAGUCAGUGUUUAGAUGUCACGAGUAGAGUAGAGUAGAGUAGAGUAGAGUAGAGUAGAGUAGAGUAGAGUAGACAGAAACCUUUGGAGGUCCCUGGACCGCUUUCAGACCAGGCUCUGGUGAAUAACCACGCUCUUUCUGGCGGCUGGUCAGUGGAGUGUGUGUGGCGCAGCAGACCCCGUCUGAUUGGUCCAGCACAUUUCAUCCACCGUGCAUAGCAACACUCACCUCUGUAGAGUUUUAACUUCCUGAUGAGGAUUUGUCGAGCAGCUCUGACCUGAUGAGGAAAUCGUCACUUUGAUUGGAUGAAGCCGACCAGGAAGACAUUCACAUCAGUGGAGGAGCGGCGGGAAGCAGCAGUUACUCAACUUCUGUUGACUUUUCAACAUGUUAAACAGGAAGUCAGGUUAUGCCGUAAGUGUAAGCUUCAGCUUUUUGUGGUUUGUUCACUAGUUUGAGUUUUGCCGCCGGCCGUCCAUCAGGGCGGUUUGGAGCACCUUGCAACACCAGGGGGUGGAGGAUGAAGCCGUCUGAGGUCCUGCAGCAUCUGUCUCUGCUGCAGAGUUCAGGUUCCUGAGCUCCAUGUCUGCCGUUUCCUCCAGAAGAGACUGUUUUCUGGCCAUGCUUCCUGUUUCUCGUGCUUGUUGGAGGAAUUACAGUAACUCCAGAUGUUCGGCGGCGUGCUGCUGUGAAGAUUGUCUGAAUAAACUCAUUGAUUACACACGCCUCUGAGAUGUGUGUGUGUGUGUGUGUGUGUGUGUGUGUGUGUGUGUGUGUGUGUGUGUGUGUGUGUGUGUGUGGUGGUUAAAGUGCUUGAUGUGUUUAAAAACGUCCUCUAAUACAGAGAAAGCAGGUAUUCCAGAUAAAGGGGAGCA